Molecule: ribosomal RNA, 468 nt
Filed under: uncultured bacterium
Lineage: Bacteria
Description: partial 16S ribosomal RNA
Rfam family: Bacterial small subunit ribosomal RNA
Source: RNAcentral
GACGAACGCUGGCGGCGUGCUUAACACAUGCAAGUCGAACGGAAAGGCCCUGCUUUUGUGGGGUGCUCGAGUGGCGAACGGGUGAGUAACACGUGAGUAACCUGCCCUUGACUUUGGGAUAACUUCAGGAAACUGGGGCUAAUACCGGAUAGGAGCUCCUGCUGCAUGGUGGGGGUUGGAAAGUUUCGGCGGUUGGGGAUGGACUCGCGGCUUAUCAGCUUGUUGGUGGGGUAGUGGCUUACCAAGGCUUUGACGGGUAGCCGGCCUGGGAGGGUGACCGGCCACAUGGGGACUGAGAUACGGCCCAGACUCCUACGGGAGGCAGCAGUGGGGAAUAUGGCACAAUGGGCGGAAGCCUGAUGCAGCAACGCCGCGUGCGGGAUGACGGCCUUCGGGUGGUAAACCGCUUUCGCCUGUGACGAAGCAUGAGUGACGGUAAUGGGUAAAGAAGCACCGGCUAACUACGUG